RNAcentral lists this ribosomal RNA (257 nucleotides) under Meloidogyne incognita (southern root-knot nematode). Its description in RNAcentral is "5.8S ribosomal RNA". The stretch from base 103 to 255 matches the Rfam family "5.8S ribosomal RNA". Rfam says of the family: 5.8S ribosomal RNA (5.8S rRNA) is a component of the large subunit of the eukaryotic ribosome. It is transcribed by RNA polymerase I as part of the 45S precursor that also contains 18S and 28S rRNA. Functionally, it is thought that 5.8S rRNA may be involved in ribosome translocation. The record is from RNAcentral. Lineage: Eukaryota; Metazoa; Nematoda; Chromadorea; Rhabditida; Meloidogynidae.
GUGACAUGUUAGGACUCUAAUGAGUUUAAGAACUAAUGAGCCUCUUAAGUGAGCGGCAACAAACCUUUUUUUUCUCUACAUUUUAAAAAAAAACUAAAAUUCUAACCUUAUCGGUGGAUCACUAGGCUCGUGGAUCGAUGAAGAACGCAGCAAACUGCGAUAAUUAUUGCGAACUGCAGAAGUAUUGAGCACAAAAGUUUUGAACGCAAAUGGCCGCAUUGAGGUCAAACUCUUUGCACGUCUGGUUCAGGGUCAUU